CCUACCUAUAUCCCCACGAAAUAAAGGAGCAGGCAUUAGGCACAACACUAGUUAGCCCACGAUGCCUUGUUUAGCCACACCCCCACGGGAACCCAGCAGUGAUUAACAUUAAGCAAUAAGUGAAAACUUGACUUAGUUAAAACCAAGAGGGCCGGUAAAUCUCGUGCCAGCCACCGCGGUUAUACGGGAGACCCAAGUUGACAAACGUCGGCGUAAAACGUGGUUUAUUACAUUAUUACACUAAAGCUAAACCUCUUCAAGACUGUUGUACGUGUUCGAAAGAGAGAGAAUCUUCUACGAAAGUGGCUUUAAAUACUAUGAACCCACGAAAGCUAGGAAACAAACUGGGAUUAGAUACCCCACUAUGCCUAGCCCUAAACCAAGGUAACUAUACACUACAGUUACUUGCCCGGAAAUUACGAGCACCAGCUUAAAACCCAAAGGACUUGGCGGUGACUUAGACCCAUCUAGAGGAGCCUGUUCUGUAAUCGACACCCCCCGUUAAACCUAACCCUCUCUUGUCAUCCCCGCCUAUAUACCGCCGUCGUCAGCUUACCCUGUGAAGGACUAGUAGUGGGCAAAAUCGGCACAGCCCAAAACGCCAGGUCAAGGUGUAGCGUAUGAGAGGGGAAGAAAUGGGCUACAUUCACUGCACCAGUGAAAACGGAUAAUGCUUUGAAACAAGCAC
This 688-nucleotide ribosomal RNA is filed under the name Tridentiger bifasciatus (Shimofuri goby). RNAcentral's name for it is "partial small subunit ribosomal RNA". It matches the Rfam family "Bacterial small subunit ribosomal RNA", at positions 61 to 1275 of the family's 1533-position model. The record is from RNAcentral. Lineage: Eukaryota; Metazoa; Chordata; Actinopteri; Gobiiformes; Gobiidae.